UAGGGAAUCUUCGGCAAUGGGGGGAACCCUGACCGAGCAACGCCGCGUGAGUGAAGAAGGUUUUCGGAUCGUAAAGCUCUGUUGUUAAGGAAGAACGAGUGUGAGAAUGGAAAGUUCAUGCUGUGACGGUACUUAACCAGAAAGGGACGGCUAACUACGUGCCAGCAGCCGCGGUAAUACGUAAGGGGCGAGCGUUGUCCGGAAUUAUUGGGCGUAAAGAGUGCGUAGGCGGCAAAUUAAGUCAGAUGUGAAAACUAAGGGCUCAACCCAUAGAUUGCAUCUGAAACUGAUAUGCUUGAGUCAAGGAGAGGAAAGUGGAAUUCCUAGUGUAGCGGUGGAAUGCGUAGAUAUUAGGAGGAAUACCGGUGGCGAAGGCGACUUUCUGGACUUGAACUGACGCUGAGGCACGAAAGCGUGGGGAGCAAACAGG
Molecule: ribosomal RNA, 430 nt
Filed under: Bacteroidota bacterium
Lineage: Bacteria; Pseudomonadati; Bacteroidota
Also listed under: 1 other name
Description: Bacteroidetes bacterium partial 16S ribosomal RNA
Rfam family: Bacterial small subunit ribosomal RNA
Source: RNAcentral